AUGGAUGUGAUGAGUAUUUCCCCAGAUGAUCGACAAUGAAAUCACUGAGCGCUCUUCUCUUUUUAGAGAAAUUCCAAGCCAGGAUACUCUGAUCCUU
Rhododendron vialii is the source of this 97-nucleotide small nucleolar RNA. RefSeq annotates it as small nucleolar RNA Z103. NCBI's taxonomy places the organism in Eukaryota, Viridiplantae, Streptophyta, Magnoliopsida, Ericales, Ericaceae. The transcript has a single exon. The record is from RefSeq and is a predicted model, not a curated record.